RNAcentral lists this ribosomal RNA (466 nucleotides) under uncultured bacterium. RNAcentral's name for it is "partial 16S ribosomal RNA". It matches the Rfam family "Bacterial small subunit ribosomal RNA", at positions 338 to 795 of the family's 1533-position model. The record is from RNAcentral.
CCUACGGGAGGCAGCAGUGGGGAAUAUUGCGCAAUGGGCGAAAGCCUGACGCAGCGACGCCGCGUGAGGGAUGAAGGUCUUCUGAUCGUAAACCUCUGUCAGGCGGGAAGAAGUGGUUAUAUGCGAAUAGUGUAUGCCUUUGACGGUACCUCCAACGUAAGCACCGGCUAACUCCGUGCCAGCAGCCGCGGUAAUACGGGGGGUGCGAGCGUUAAUCUGAAUCACUGGGCGUAAAGCGCGCGUAGGCGGCUUUUCAAGUCAGGGGUGAAAUCCGCCGGCCCAACCGUGGAACUGCCGUUGAAACUGUAGAGCUUGAGUGUCGGAGAGGGUGGCGGAAUGCCAGGUGUAGGAGUGAAAGCCGUAGAUAUCUGGAGGAACACCGGUGGCGAAGGCGGCCACCUGGACGACAACUGACGCUGAGGUGCGAAAGCGUGGGUAGCAAACAGGAUUAGAUACCCCUGUAGUC